UACGUAGGGUGCGAGCGUUAAUCGGAAUUACUGGGCGUAAAGCGUGCGCAGGCGGUUUUGUAAGUCAGAUGUGAAAUCCCCCGGGCUCAACCUGGGAACUGCGUUUGAAACUACAAAGGCUAGAGUGUAGCAGAGGGGGGUAGAAUUCCACGGUGUAGCAGUGAAAUGCGUAGAGAUGAUGGAGGACACCGGUGGCGAAGGCAAUCCC
RNAcentral lists this ribosomal RNA (208 nucleotides) under uncultured bacterium. Its description in RNAcentral is "partial 16S ribosomal RNA". It matches the Rfam family "Bacterial small subunit ribosomal RNA", at positions 524 to 728 of the family's 1533-position model. The record is from RNAcentral.